AUUGAACGCUGGCGGAAGGCCUAACACAUGCAAGUCGAGCGAGCGGCGGACGGGUGAGUAAUGUAUGGGGACUGCCCGAUAGAGGGGGAUAACUACUGGAAACGGUAGCUAAUACCGCAUACUAUCGGAUAACCCAUAUGGGAUUAGCGAGUAGGUGAGGUAAUGGUUCACCUAGGCGACGACCCCUAGCUGGUCUGAGAGGAUGAUCAGCCACACGGGGACUGAGACAUGGCCCAUACUCCAACGGAGGCAGCAGUGGGGAAUAUUGCACAAUGGCGAAAGCCUGAUGCAGCCAUGCCGCGGGUAUGAAGAAGGCCCUAGGGUUGUAAAGUACUUGCAGUCGGGAGGCUUUACCGCCAGAAGAAGCACCGGCUAACUCCGUGCCAGCAGCCGCGGUAAUAC
This 402-nucleotide ribosomal RNA is filed under the name uncultured bacterium. RNAcentral's name for it is "partial 16S ribosomal RNA". It matches the Rfam family "Bacterial small subunit ribosomal RNA", at positions 30 to 526 of the family's 1533-position model. The record is from RNAcentral.